AUGUGCCGUCUUCGAAGUUGGACCGGGUUUCGAAGACUAUCACGGCUGUCUCUUGCUUCCGCGGGCCUUGGCGCCGGGGCCUCCGCCUGGGUCUGGCUCUGGGUUAAUGGUGGCGCCGCCGGGAGGCUGGGAAGGGAGAGGGGAGUGCACUCUGGCUGCCCUGCCCAGAAACAGGGAGGCUUUCAGUGGCCGCUCGGACUCCUCGUUAGGGCGUUUGAAAGCCCCAAAUGGCCGGUGGCAGGGGCCAUUGCGUGGGUCAGUUUUUCCUUCCUGCGCCCCAUCAGGCGCGCCUGGUUCUCCAACUACCGGCUCCUCCACGCUGCGAGCGCCUUUCUACAACCUGCUGGCUCCGUAGAUACAGCCAUUCAGCCGGUUACAAAAAAGGAACAAUGCCAACAUUGAAGCCCUCGGUUGGAGUCUGCACAGUUGGAGAUCUUUGGUGCCAUUUUAGACAUCUUUGGAUUUCAUCAAUCAAACUGACUGCAAUUUUCCAUAAAAACCCUGAAUUUGGGUCAGAAAGUGGGCAAAGUAGAUAAAGAUCAUUCGAGCUGUCUUAUAAGAUGAUAAAUAGAUAUCCUUUCAGGCCAACAAUGCCAAAGUGCAGUUUUGUGAUUCCCUUCCAUGGGUUCUGAAUGCAGUGAGUCGAAACGAUUUCUACAUGUUUUCCCAUGGUUUAGGAGGUGUCUUUACAUACUUGUCAAUAGCAGCCUGACCUUUUUCCCCACGGAGUUGCUAAGUGUGUUUUGUUUAUUGCUUUGAGUCUUUUUUUUCUUGUGUGUGUGUGUUGCACAAAAUACACAAGAAAAUAAAGGUGUAUUUUUUCUUUUACUGCUCAAAUCAAUAGAAUAUGGGUCCAAUUGAGAUAAUUCUCUGCAAAUAGACUGGUUUCCGUAGCUCUUGAGUUGGUGUAGAAAUUCCAUUUGCUCUGCAGUUGCUCUCAAGGCACUUUGGACACCAUUUGGGUACCAUGCUGGGACGUAAACUCACUUUCUUAGCAGCAGCAACAACAACAACAGCCCACUGGCACGGUGUCCUUCCUAUUCUUGAACUUGAUGAAUGGCCUUUUGUAUAAGGUGUAUAAAAGGAAAUUAAAAAAAGCAAAAAGAAAUCACAAAAUGACAUUUAACCCACUACCUCCAGAGACCUUUCAGAAUGUUAGCUGAAAUAAUUUCUGAGUGAGUAAGAACAUUUUGUGCUGUGCCUUCAGCAUAUAUUACAUGCCACUUCCUGCCAACUGUCUCAGUUUAAUUCCCCAUCUUUUGAAUCUCCUUGACCCUUCUCUUCAGAAUAUUUUCAUUUUGAUAAUCCUUUCACCCACUGUUGUAGUUAACCAGGUAUUUUAAAAGGCUCUUGAAGAAUUACUGGAUAUUCACAGAGAAACUAUGCUUGCCAUUCUUGGUUAUUUAUGAAUUAAUGAUCUGCUGUGUUCUCAUAAGCUCAGAGAUCUUGUGGGGGCAUACACAGUUAUGCAGCAAAUACAUUUAUUUUUCUUGAUAUAAGAUUUUCUCCCCAUAUCCGUCACAUGCACAUCAUCUCUUUUCUGUGUUUUGCUUUUCCAAACUCCUUGAAUAUCAACUGUAUGUUACAAAGCAUCUAUAGAAGAGAGUAUAGUGCAGUGGGAGUUAAUUACUGUUAUUAACUUACUGGCUUUAUUAGUUUUGAAUGAAGCAUGUAGCUACUGUGGCUACAGUUAUUUAAGCACUCUUUAUUAGCUAAAAUAAUUUGCAAUUUUUGGACAUACACUUACCA
RNAcentral lists this long non-coding RNA (1749 nucleotides) under Callithrix jacchus (white-tufted-ear marmoset). RNAcentral's name for it is "lncRNA (ENSCJAG00000084155.1)". The record is from RNAcentral. Lineage: Eukaryota; Metazoa; Chordata; Mammalia; Primates; Cebidae.